GACGAACGCUGGCGGCGUGCUUAACACAUGCAAGUCGAACGAAGAGCGAUGGAAGCUUGCUUCUAUCAAUCUUAGUGGCGAACGGGUGAGUAACGCGUAAUCAACCUGCCCUUCAGAGGGGGACAACAGUUGGAAACGACUGCUAAUACCGCAUACGAUCUGACCUCGGCAUCGAGGAUAGAUGAAGGGUGGCCUCUACAUGUAAGCUAUCACUGAAGGAGGGGAUUGCGUCUGAUUAGCUAGUUGGAGGGGUAACGGCCCACCAAGGCGAUGAUCAGUAGCCGGUCUGAGAGGAUGAACGGCCACAUUGGGACUGAGACACGGCCCAGACUCCUACGGGAGGCAGCAGUGGGGAAUCUUCCGCAAUGGACGAAAGUCUGACGGAGCAACGCCGCGUGAGUGAUGACGGCCUUCGGGUUGUAAAGCUCUGUUAAUCGGGACGAAAGGCCUUUUUGCGAAUAGUGAGAAGGAUUGACGGUACCGGAAGAGAAAGCCACGGCUAACUACGUG
Molecule: ribosomal RNA, 510 nt
Filed under: uncultured bacterium
Lineage: Bacteria
Description: partial 16S ribosomal RNA
Rfam family: Bacterial small subunit ribosomal RNA
Source: RNAcentral